RNAcentral lists this unclassified non-coding RNA (352 nucleotides) under soil metagenome. Its description in RNAcentral is "partial contains 5.8S ribosomal RNA, internal transcribed spacer 2, and large subunit ribosomal RNA". The stretch from base 1 to 121 matches the Rfam family "5.8S ribosomal RNA", at positions 35 to 154 of the family's 154-position model. The record is from RNAcentral.
GAUGAAGAACGCAGCGAAAUGCGAUAAGUAAUGCGAAUUGCAGAAUUUCCGUGAGUCAUCGAAUCUUUGAACGCACAUUGCGCCCUCUGGUAUUCCGGAGGGCAUGCCUGUCCGAGCGUCAUUAUCACCCCUCAAGCCCCGGCUUGGUGUUGGACCUCUGGUCGUGUCCUUGCCGGCACGACCGGUCCCAAAGUGAAUGACGGUGUCCGCGGGACCCUCGGUGCAAUGAGCUCGCUCGUAGCACGCACCGCAGUGGCCUCGGGGACGCGUCCCUCAACCACAAUUUUUCUCAGGUUGACCUCGGAUCAGGUAGGGAUACCCGCUGAACUUAAGCAUAUCAAUAAGCGGAGGA